Long non-coding RNA from Oncorhynchus keta (chum salmon), 431 nucleotides. RefSeq lists it as uncharacterized. The record is from RefSeq and is a predicted model, not a curated record. The transcript has 3 exons. NCBI's taxonomy places the organism in Eukaryota, Metazoa, Chordata, Actinopteri, Salmoniformes, Salmonidae.
UCAUUUGAUUCAAACCAAAAUCCAUCAACUCAACAGUUUUUAAUGAAGUCAGCAACUCUGAUACCAAAGUCAUUUUAAAAAAAAGAUUUUAUUUUGAAUCACAUUGGGAGAGAGAGAGAGCGGAUCACACACUUACAGUUUAUGGUAGCAAGGUAUACUGUAAAACUCACACCAUGUCAUACACAUAUUGGCUUCAGAUGGGUACGUUUGCGGUAGUUGAAGAAGUCUACAUAUUGUGAAGUAUUGGGAGAGACAGAAAUGCUCUCACACAUACAGCUUGCAGAGGUCUACUACUGUACAACUCUCACAUACAGCUUGCAGAGGUCUACUACUGUACAACUCUCACACAUACAGCUUGCAGAGGUCUACUACUGUACAACUCUCACACAUACAGCUCGCAGAGGUCUACUACUGUACAACUCUCACACACA